Molecule: ribosomal RNA, 255 nt
Filed under: uncultured bacterium
Lineage: Bacteria
Description: partial 16S ribosomal RNA
Rfam family: Bacterial small subunit ribosomal RNA
Source: RNAcentral
UACAGAGGGUGCGAGCGUUGUUCGGAAUUACUGGGCGUAAAGCGCGCGCAGGCGGCCCUUUAAGUCCGUCGGUCAAAUGCCGGGGCUCAACCCCGAUGCAUGCCGAGGAUACUGGAGGGCUGGAGACACGUAGAGGCAAGCGGAAUUCCGGGUGUAGCGGUGGAAUGCGUAGAUAUCAGGAAGAACACCCGUGGCGAAGGCGGUUCUCUGGGACGGUACUGACGCUGAGACGCGAAAGCGUGGGGAGCGAACAGG